RNAcentral lists this non-coding RNA (220 nucleotides) under Rhodovulum sp. RNAcentral also lists the same sequence under 1 other name. The record is from RNAcentral. Lineage: Bacteria; Pseudomonadati; Pseudomonadota; Alphaproteobacteria; Rhodobacterales; Paracoccaceae.
GAUCGUGCCGCCCGUGUCGGUUCCCCGCGGGACGUCCGCGGGGAGGAAAGAGGGAACACGGGACGGUCUUCCACGAGAGCGAUCUCGGGAGCCGGAGCCGUGGCUGCCCCCGCAACUGUGAGCGGCGAGCCGCAUCCACCACGGGCCACUGGGAAACCGGGAAGGCCGGAUGCAGCGACGACCCGCGAGCCAGGAGACCUGCCGACACGGUCACCCAACC